GUGAACUAGCUAACUGAAAUCACAAGUACACGGUAUGUGUCACUUGAGAUAACGUAAGGGAUAAUAAUGAUAUUACCUUACUAUUAGUGUCGUCCAAAACUGGUGCCAGAAGACUCGGUAAGGCCAGAGACGCAAACGUUAGUCUUAUUAACCAGGCGUAAAGGGUAUGUAGGCAGCUUUCAAAAUUUUAUUUUAAUAUAGCCAUAGUAAAAUAAGACCAAUAAAAGCUAGAAUCAAAUUGAGGUUAAGCCAAAUAAUACUUAGAGUAGGGGCGACAUCCGUAGAAACUAAGUAGAAUACUAAGAGCGUAAGCUUUUUAACCAUUACUCAUUGAAGCUGAGAAACGAAGGUGAGGAUAGGAAGUAGGAUUAGAUACCCAGGUACC
RNAcentral lists this ribosomal RNA (385 nucleotides) under Cerrena unicolor. RNAcentral's name for it is "SSU rRNA". It matches the Rfam family "Bacterial small subunit ribosomal RNA", at positions 383 to 794 of the family's 1533-position model. The record is from RNAcentral. Lineage: Eukaryota; Fungi; Basidiomycota; Agaricomycetes; Polyporales; Cerrenaceae.